UCAAGUGAAUUAAAAACUGGCUUGCCA
This 27-nucleotide small RNA is filed under the name Bombyx mori (domestic silkworm). RNAcentral describes it as "ovarian small RNA-24780". Lineage: Eukaryota; Metazoa; Arthropoda; Insecta; Lepidoptera; Bombycidae. The record is from RNAcentral.